RNAcentral lists this unclassified non-coding RNA (221 nucleotides) under Hevea brasiliensis (rubber tree). The record is from RNAcentral. Lineage: Eukaryota; Viridiplantae; Streptophyta; Magnoliopsida; Malpighiales; Euphorbiaceae.
AAUUAACUUAAAAACAGAUCCGAACCGAUCUACAGGGAAAUUGCCCAUUUCUUCAACUUAUCCUAUACAGAUAAAACUCAGCUGCUUGUAUUCUACUGCCCUGAGCCAUGGGGUGAGCCUAGGGAGGUCAUCACUGAAGAACGGAUUGCCUGUUGAACUUCACACUUCCUGCUGAGGCCUGAUUAGCAGCCCGGUUGCUUCCAAAGUUCUUGCGGUUUGAU